GAUGAACGCUGGCGGCGUGCUUAACACAUGCAAGUCGAACGGAAAGGCCCAAGCUUUCUUGGGUUCUCGAGUGGCGAACGGGUGAGUAACACGUGGGUGAUCUGCCCUUCACUUCGGGAUAAGCCUGGGAAACUGGGUCUAAUACCGGAUAGGAUCUCAUUUUGGAUGGUGUGGUGGAAAGUUUUUCGGUUCGGGGUGAGCUCGCGGCCUAUCGGCUUGUUGGUGGGGUAAUGGCUUACCAAGGUGUCUACGGGUAGCCGGCCUCUGAGAGUGUACGGCCACACUGGGACUGAGGUGCGGCACAAGCUCCGACGGGAGGGAGAAGUGGGGAAGAUUGACCAAGGGGCGCAAGCCUGGUGAAGCGACGCCGCGGGGGGGAUAACGGUCUUAGGGUUGUAGAAUCAAUUCGUAAGGAACGAAGCGUGAUGUGACGGUACCUGGAGAAGAAGCACCGGCUAACUACGUG
RNAcentral lists this ribosomal RNA (466 nucleotides) under uncultured bacterium. Its description in RNAcentral is "partial 16S ribosomal RNA". It matches the Rfam family "Bacterial small subunit ribosomal RNA", at positions 28 to 507 of the family's 1533-position model. The record is from RNAcentral.